Long non-coding RNA from Rosa rugosa (rugosa rose), 508 nucleotides. RefSeq lists it as uncharacterized. The record is from RefSeq and is a predicted model, not a curated record. The transcript has 2 exons. NCBI's taxonomy places the organism in Eukaryota, Viridiplantae, Streptophyta, Magnoliopsida, Rosales, Rosaceae.
UAGUAUGCUGUAUAAACUUGAUUAAAUAUGUUGCUAUAAUAUUUAUAGUCUUUGUCGCCUCUAGUUAUAUUGCUGGUAUAUAAUGUUCUAGCAAUUGAAAAGUUUUGUAAGUCUUUGAUAUCAGGUGCUCUACUGGACUUGAAAGAAUGUAUAAUUCACGGAAUAGGAACUAUGGUGGCAAGGUAUGGAAUACUUCCCCAGAUGAGCAAAACCGCCUCAAAGCUCAAGUCUUUAACAACCCAUGUACUCCAUUUUCAAAAAGCAAGCUUCUUUACUGCAACAGUUGCAGAUCGUGAAGAAGAAUCACAAAACCCAAAGAGACCCAAGUAGAUGAUACAUUUUCAUGCAUCAUAUAUGUGCCAUGUUUUGGAACAAUAUAAAUACACACUUUUGAUGUCCCAAGUAGAUGGGCAUGUGCUAGAAUGCUUUUAUAGUUUAAAUGUUGGCUUGAAUGAUUGGGAAAUGCACCUCUUUUGCUUUUGAAGUUUAAAACAUUGGUUAGAUUACU